GGUCGAUUUAAUUUAAUUCUAGUGGCGGACGGGUGAGUAACGCGUGGGUAACCUGCCUUAUACAGGGGGAUAACAGUCAGAAAUGGCUGCUAAUACCGCAUAAGCGCACAGAGCUGCAUGGCUCAGUGUGAAAAACUCCGGUGGUAUAAGAUGGACCCGCGUUGGAUUAGCUAGUUGGUGGGGUAACGGCCCACCAAGGCGACGAUCCAUAGCCGGCCUGAGAGGGUGAACGGCCACAUUGGGACUGAGACACAGCCCAGACUCCUACGGGAGGCAGCAGUGGGGAAUAUUGCACAAUGGGGGAAACCCUGAUGCAGCGACGCCGCGUGAAGGAAGAAGUAUCUCGGUAUGUAAACUUCUAUCAGCAGGGAAGAAAAUGACGGUACCUGACUAAGAAGCCCCGGCUAACUACGUGCCAGCAGCCGCGGUAAUACGUAGGGGGCAAGCGUUAUCCGGAUUUACUGGGUGUAAAGGGAGCGUAGACGGAUGGACAAGUCUGAUGUGAAAGGCUGGGGCUCAACCCCGGGACUGCAUUGGAAACUGCCCGUCUUGAGUGCCGGAGAGGUAAGUGGAAUUCCUAGUGUAGCGGUGAAAUGCGUAGAUAUUAGGAGGAACACCAGUGGCGAAGGCGGCUUA
Molecule: ribosomal RNA, 636 nt
Filed under: uncultured Lachnospiraceae bacterium
Lineage: Bacteria; Bacillati; Bacillota; Clostridia; Lachnospirales; Lachnospiraceae
Description: bacterial SSU rRNA
Rfam family: Bacterial small subunit ribosomal RNA
Source: RNAcentral